GCUCCAUUAGCGUAUAUUAACGUUGUUGCAGUUAAAAAGCUCGUAGUUGGAUUUGUGGUGUACGGUGUGUUCCGGGCACUUGUUGUCUGAGUAACUUGCCGUUGCAUCCUUGGGUGGAACCUGUGUGGCAUUAGGUUGUCGUGCAGGGGAUGCCAUCGUUUACUGUGAAAAAAUUAGAGUGUUCAAAGCAGGCUUAUGCC
RNAcentral lists this ribosomal RNA (200 nucleotides) under uncultured eukaryote. RNAcentral describes it as "partial 18S ribosomal RNA". It matches the Rfam family "Eukaryotic small subunit ribosomal RNA", at positions 588 to 795 of the family's 1831-position model. The record is from RNAcentral.